UAUAACAGUUUUAUGGUCUGCAAAAUACAAUCAUAGACAGAACCCAACAUGGCGAGCUUGAAAAGCUUUUAUUUUGCGGAUAAAUCGCAAUCCUACUCCUGCAAACAGCACAACGAAACCACCAAAUGCUUGGCAGAGCAGACACUUCCAUGAGAAGAUAUUUGAGGAUGCUGAAAGUGCUGCCCAACCCUCAAUAAUCUGCAAACCACAGUUUUUUCUCCUAAGCGACACUGACAAGCUAUAAAAGAAUAGCAGUAGUUAGCAAUCACCCUUCUUAUUCUGCCCUGGACUGGCCAGCACGGGAUGACAAGAUGAUGCCAACAAUAAGGCCAUACAGCGCCAACGCUUCAGCAAAGAUGAGGAUAAGGAUCAUUCCAACAAAAAGUUUAGGCUGUUGAGCAUUAGCUCUGUGAAAAAAACAGCAAAACGUAUCAGAAUGGAUUGUGAAUCAAAUGAUUAUUCUCCCUAAACAGCAAUCUUGCAAGUACAAGAGAUAUUACACAAGAACAGAAAAUUUGCCUGUGCAAGUACCAUGCAGUCUCAUCCAAGAAUUCUCAUGGUCUUAAAUUUACAGAAAAACAUCCAGACAUUGUAAGGUUUGCGCAGCAAAACUAGACAACAAAUCUCAAAGAUUUAAGAACCACUGCAUCAUAUCAAGGAGAUAAAAGUUGCACCCAGAUCAUAAGUUAAAAAACUGAAGAACAGGACAGCACCCCAGCUACAAAACUAAAUAACAAUGUACCACGCUUGUCAAAAAUAAAUACAGGUUGAGACACAUUAACCAUACCAACACU
RNAcentral lists this long non-coding RNA (794 nucleotides) under Populus trichocarpa (black cottonwood). RNAcentral's name for it is "long non-coding RNA (PTRI_LNC001287)". The record is from RNAcentral. Lineage: Eukaryota; Viridiplantae; Streptophyta; Magnoliopsida; Malpighiales; Salicaceae.